AAUACUAACUGUGAAAGAAACCCUCUCUUGUGCACAAGACAAUAGCACAACCCUCUGCCAUAACAGCGACCAGCAACAAUCCAACAAUCGACGACAACUAGGGAGAACGGCGACAGCCCAGGUGACGGCGGCGACGACGGAUCCUUCCCUGCAUACGGGCAAACCCUAAUCUGCUUGUGGUCCAACCCAUCUCCGGCCUAAAGCUCCGGCGUCUUCGCACCUAAUUCUCAAUCCGACCGUUCGAUCGCCGCCCUCCACCCAUCUCCGGCGUAAAGCUCUUCUCGCUGCCCUGUACCUGCUUCUCUAUCUUCAUCAUAGUGAUAGCCACAAGACUUUGGCACUGUAUCAUCCAACUGUUUUGGGUGCCCAUAAUACAAUGGGGCAAGAAGCAUGGUAUUCUGCAAAUGCUUUGGCCAAGCGCUUUAGAUACGAGAGUGCAAGCAAUUUGCCUAUAUAUCCACAAAGGCCAGGAGAGAAGGAUUGUGUCCACUAUAUGCAAACAAGAACCUGUAAAUUUGGAGAUAGCUGCAAAUUUGACCAUGCUAUUUGGGUUCUUGAAGGUGGAAUCCCAGAUUGGAAAGAGUUGGCUCCUGGCCAGGUGUCUCUAUUCCAUCUGAGUUCUUCUCCCUUUCAAAGAUUUGGUUUUGCUUCUUUUGCGUCCCCCGAGACUUCUGAAAAAGAACAUGGGAGUAAUUUAGAGAAUAAUGGAGAUGCUAAAGUCUCCAGUCAAGCCGCCUCUGAGCAGAGUGAUGUUGUUGAUCAGACAAAAGAAUCAGAUUCCGAUGAGGAUUUGAGUGUAGAUGAUCUAGUGAAACUUGUGGCUGAGAAGGAAGAGCUUUUGAAGCAGAAGCAUAAAGAGAUUGAGAAAAUGCAAGAUAAAGUCCUCAGAAGCUAUGCGGAAAUGGAGAAUCUCAUGGACAAGACACGACGUGAAUCAGAGAACUCAAAAAAAUUUGAAAAAAUUGCGAUGAUUGAUUGUUUGGUUUUUAUUUAUUUUUGCUGUUUGUAUCAUAUAAACAGGCAGAAUGAGCAGCUUUCCAAGUAUGGGGACACAAAAUCAGCUCGAAACAUCAUGCUUAUAGAACUUAAAAAGUUAAUUGAAGCGAACCCUUUGUUUCGUGAUAAACUUACAUUCCCAGCCUUCAAAAGUUCGCGUCUAAGGACUUUAAUAAAUCAGAGUCUAAACUGGCAGCAUAAACUUUGCAAGAAUCCUCGUCCAAACCCUGAUAUAAAAACACUUUUUACGGAUCAUUCUUGCAAUCCAACUACUAAUGGAUCUCGUCCUCCUCCAACAAACAACCUUGUGGGGCCGAUUCCCAAGGCUGGUGCAUUUCCUCCUAUUGGUGCCCAUGGUCCAUUUCAGCCGGUUGAGUCCCCAUCUCCUAGUACUAUUGCUGGUUGGAUGUCAAAUUCUAAUUCAUCUUUGUCUCAUCCUGUUGUGGCAGCACCACCUCCUGGUUUAGUCCAGCAAUCUAGUGCAGCUGCAUUUUUGAAACACCCAAGGACUCCUACAGGUGUUACGGGGAUGGAUUAUCAAUCAGCUGACUCUGAGCACUUGAUUAGGCGCAUUCGUACUGGACAGUCUGAUAAGGUAUCAUUCUCUGGUGUAAUGCAUUCUGGGGCCUAUUCACAAGAUGACAUUCCCAAAAAUCUUGUCCGGACCCUUAGUCAAGGAUCUAAUGUUAUGAGCAUGGAUUUUCAUCCUCAGCAACAAACCAUACUGCUAGUUGGGACAAAUGUUGGUGACAUUAGCCUUUGGGAAGUUGGGUCGCGGGAGAGGAUGGUACAUAAACCCUUCAAUGUUUGGGAUAUACAAUCUGCUUCGAUGCCAUUGCAGUCAGCUUUGUUAAGUGAUGCUGGAAUAUCAGUGAAUCGUUGUGUUUGGGGGUCAGAUGGGCUCAUGCUUGGUGUUGCAUUUUCAAAGCACAUUGUCCAGAUAUAUACUUACAAUACAACUGGGGAACUCCGUCAACAUUUGGAGAUUGAUGCUCAUGUGGGUGGAGUUAAUGACAUUGCCUUUGCCCAUCCCAACAAGCAACAUUGCAUUGUUACGUGUGGAGAUGAUAAAAUGAUCAAGGUAUGGGAUGCUGUAUCUGGACGUAGACUCUAUAUAUUUGAAGGUCAUGAAGCUCCAGUAUAUUCUGUUUGUCCUCAUUACAAAGAAAAUAUUCAGUUCAUAUUUUCAAUUGCUAUUGAUGAGAAAAUUAAAGCUUGGCUUUAUGAUUGCUUGGGAUCAAGAGUGGAUUAUGAUGCUCCUGGACUAUGGUGCACUAUGAUGGCAUAUAGUGCAGAUGGAACUAGGCUCUUCUCAUGCGGAACAAGUAAGGAGGGUGAAUCUCAUCUUGUUGAGUGGAAUGAGAGUGAAGCAGCUAUCAAACGUACAUAUUCUGGUUUCAGGAAGAGAUCUUUAGGUGUUGUUCAGUUUGACACAACAAGAAACCGGUUUUUAGCUGCUGGUGACGAAUUUCAAAUUAAGUUCUGGGAUAUGGACAGUACCAACAUGUUGACAGCUAUCGAUGCCGAUGGGGGUUUACCUGCUAGUCCAAGAUUGAGAUUUAACAAAGAAGGGUCAUUGUUGGCAGUCACAACAAAUGACAAUGGUAUUAAGAUUUUAGCCAACAAUGAUGGGUUGCGCUUGAUAAGGAUGCUGGAGAGCAGGGCUAUGGAUAAGAAUCGAGGCCCUUCCGAGCCUAUCAAUUCUAAGAAUUUUGCAAAGAGUCUACUUGAUGUUGCAGACAAUUUGGGAUGAGCUUCUUCAGUUGUUAAAGAAAGUUUUUCAAAGAUUGACACAUCUAAGGAUUCAUCUAGGGCUGCUCCACUUUUAAAAACAUUUCUAGAGGGUGUUGAAAUGACAUAAAAACAACUUGUAGAGUGUGGUGGGAAAAAUACAUAUACACUUGGCGAAAUUAAUGAAAUUCGAAAUGAAUAGGCAACCAAGCUUCUUGAGCGGACGAGUCAUAGCUAGAGUAACUUUUGAAAUCAGAAUUAAAAAAUAUACUAAUUGUAGUUUUUAGUUAGCACUUACAUAGUUAUUCCAAGUCUAUAUUUUGAUCUUGCAAUUUUUAGAUUUUGAACAUACUGAGUUAUAUUGAUUUUGUCUGCCUAUUGAUUCUAUUUGAACUAUGUUGUAAUUACACAGGAAAUUAUGAAUGAAUAUAGUAUUGAAAAUAGAGAAAUGAAAAAAUUAUCAUAUUCUA
This is an RNA transcript of Humulus lupulus (European hop), 3197 nucleotides long. It is a transcript of the gene named protein TOPLESS-RELATED PROTEIN 2-like, with no coding region annotated. NCBI's taxonomy places the organism in Eukaryota, Viridiplantae, Streptophyta, Magnoliopsida, Rosales, Cannabaceae. The transcript is spliced from 18 exons. The record is from RefSeq and is a predicted model, not a curated record.